CAGGGAUUGCCUCAGUAACUGCGAGUGAAGCGGCAAAAGCUCAAAUUUGAAAUCUGGCGUCUUUGGCGUCCGAGUUGUAAUUUGGAGAGGCAUCUUCGGAGAUGGCGCUGUCCUAAGUUCCUUGGAACAGGACAUCACAGAGGGUGAGAAUCCCGUGCCUGGAUGGCUGUCCAUCUCCAUGUGAAGAGUCUUCGACGAGUCGAGUUGUUUGGGAAUGCAGCUCAAAAUGGGUGGUAAAUUUCAUCUAAAGCUAAAUAUUGGCGAGAGACCGAUAGCGCACAAGUAGAGUGAUCGAAAGAUGAAAAGCACUUUGAAAAGAGAGUUAAAAAGUACGUGAAAUUGUUGAAAGGGAAGCGCUUGAGACCAGACUCAAUCUUUGGUGAUCAGCUGUGCUUCUGCGCAGUGCACUUGCUAUUGAUUGGGCCAGCAUCGGUUCCGACGGUGGGAUAAAAGGCGGAGGAAUGUAGCUUCCUUCGGGGAGUGUUAUAGCCUCCGUCACAAUGCCAUCAGUUGGGACCGAGGACCGCGCUUCGGCUAGGAUGCUGGCGUAAUGGUCUUAAGCGACCCGUCUUGAAACACGGACCAAGGAGUCUAACAUCUAUGCGAGUGUUCGGGUGGAAAACCCUUGCGCGUAAUGAAAGUGAACGGAGGUGGGAACCCGCAAGGGUGCACCAUCGACCGAUCCUGAUGUCUUCGGAAGGAUUUGAGUAAGAGCAUAGCUGUUGGGACCCGAAAGAUGGUGAACUAUGCCUGAAUAGGGUGAAGCCAGAGGAAACUCUGGUGGAGGCUCGCAGCGGUUCUGACGUGCAAAUCGAUCGUCAAAUUUGGGUAUAGGGGC
This 838-nucleotide ribosomal RNA is filed under the name Perilachnea hemisphaerioides. RNAcentral's name for it is "partial 28S ribosomal RNA". It matches the Rfam family "Eukaryotic large subunit ribosomal RNA", at positions 69 to 924 of the family's 3401-position model. Lineage: Eukaryota; Fungi; Ascomycota; Pezizomycetes; Pezizales; Pyronemataceae. The record is from RNAcentral.